GACGUAGGGCGCAAGCGUUGUCCGGAUUUAUUGGGCGUAAAGAGCUCGUAGGCGGCUUGUCGCGUCGACUGUGAAAACCCGCGGCUCAACCGCGGGCCUGCAGUCGAUACGGGCAGGCUAGAGUCCGGAAGAGGCGAGUGGAAUUCCUGGUGUAGCGGUGGAAUGCGCAGAUAUCAGGAGGAACACCAACGGCGAAGGCAGCUCGCUGGGACGGUACUGACGCUGAGGCGCGAAAGCGUGGGGAGCGAACAGG
RNAcentral lists this ribosomal RNA (253 nucleotides) under uncultured bacterium. RNAcentral describes it as "partial 16S ribosomal RNA". It matches the Rfam family "Bacterial small subunit ribosomal RNA", at positions 524 to 776 of the family's 1533-position model. The record is from RNAcentral.